RNAcentral lists this ribosomal RNA (253 nucleotides) under uncultured bacterium. RNAcentral describes it as "partial 16S ribosomal RNA". It matches the Rfam family "Bacterial small subunit ribosomal RNA", at positions 524 to 776 of the family's 1533-position model. The record is from RNAcentral.
UACGAAGGGUGCUAGCGUUGCUCGGAAUUACUGGGCGUAAAGGGCGCGUAGGCGGCCUUGUCAGUCGGGCGUGAAAUCCCCGGGCUCAACCUGGGAAUUGCGUUCGAUACGGCUGGGCUUUAGGCCGAGAGAUGGUGGUGGAAUUCCCAGUGUAGAGGUGAAAUUCGUAGAUAUUGGGAAGAACACCGGUGGCGAAGGCGGCCACCUGGCUCGGUACUGACGCUGAGGCGCGACAGCGUGGGGAGCAAACAGG